UACGUAGGGUGCGAGCGUUGUCCGGAAUUAUUGGGCGUAAAGAGCUCGUAGGCGGUCUGUCGCGUCGGUCGUGAAAACUUGGGGCUUAACCCUGAGCUUGCGGUCGAUACGGGCAUGACUGGAGUUCGGCAGGGGAGACUGGAAUUCCCGGUGUAGCGGUGAAAUGCGCAGAUAUCAGGAGGAACACCGGUGGCGAAGGCGGGUCUCUGGGCCGAUACUGACGCUGAGGAGCGAAAGCGUGGGGAGCGAACAGG
RNAcentral lists this ribosomal RNA (254 nucleotides) under uncultured bacterium. RNAcentral describes it as "partial 16S ribosomal RNA". It matches the Rfam family "Bacterial small subunit ribosomal RNA", at positions 524 to 776 of the family's 1533-position model. The record is from RNAcentral.